RNAcentral lists this ribosomal RNA (489 nucleotides) under uncultured bacterium. RNAcentral describes it as "partial 16S ribosomal RNA". It matches the Rfam family "Bacterial small subunit ribosomal RNA", at positions 30 to 507 of the family's 1533-position model. The record is from RNAcentral.
AUUGAACGCUGGCGGCAGGCCUAACACAUGCAAGUCGAACGGUAACAGGAAGAAGCUUGCUUCUUUGCUGACGAGUGGCGGACGGGUGAGUAAUGUCUGGGAAACUGCCUGAUGGAGGGGGAUAACUACUGGAAACGGUAGCUAAUACCGCAUAACGUCGCAAGACCAAAAAGGGGGACCUUCGGGCCUCUUGCCAUCGGAUGUGCCCAGAUGGGAUUAGCUAGUAGGUGGGGUAACGGCUCACCUAGGCGACGAUCCCUAGCUGGUCUGAGAGGAUGACCCGCCACACUGGAACUGAGACACGGUCCAGACUCCUACGGGAGGCAGCAGUGGGAAUAUUGCACAAUGGGCGCAAGCCUGAUGCAGCCAUGCCGCGUGUAUGAAGAAGGCCUUCGGGUUGUAAAGUACUUUCAGCGGGGAGGAAGGGAGUAAAGUUAAUACCUUUGCUCAUUGACGUUACCCGCAGAAGAAGCACCGGCUAACUCCGUG